GGGUCAGUAGGCUGGUCGUGCCACCGGUACGUACUGGUCUCACUGAUUCCUCCUUCCUGAAUAACCGUAAUGCCAUUAAUUUGGUGUUGCGGGGAAACAGGACUGUUACUUUGAAAAAAUUAGAGUGUUUAAAGCAAGCUAACGCUUGAAUACAUUAGCAUGGAAUAAUGACAUAGGACGAUCGAUCCUAUUUUUUUGGUUUCUAGGAUUGACGUA
This 216-nucleotide ribosomal RNA is filed under the name Glomeromycotina sp. RNAcentral's name for it is "partial small subunit ribosomal RNA". The stretch from base 40 to 216 matches the Rfam family "Eukaryotic small subunit ribosomal RNA", at positions 686 to 864 of the family's 1831-position model. Lineage: Eukaryota; Fungi; Glomeromycota. The record is from RNAcentral.